GUGGCGCACGGGUGAGUAACGCGUGGGUAAUCUACCUCCGAAUUGGGGAUAACAUUGCGAAAGCGAUGCUAAUACCGGAUAAUAUCUCUUAAACUUCGGCUAAAGAGAUCAAAGGUGGCCUCUCCUUGGAAGCUACUGUUUGGGGAUGAGCCCGCGUACCAUUAGCUUGUUGGUAGGGUAAAAGCCUACCAAGGCAACGAUGGUUAGCUGGUCUGAGAGGAUGAUCAGCCACACUGGAACUGACACACGGUCCAGACUCCUACGGGAGGCAGCAGUGAGGAAUUUUGCGCAAUAGGGGAAACCCUGACGCAGCAACGCCGCGUGAGUGAUGAAGGCUUUCGGGUCGUAAAGCUCUGUCAAGUGGGAAGAACCUGUAUGGUGCUAAUAUCAGCAUACACUGACGGUACCACUGAAGGAAGCACCGGCUAACUCCGUGCCAGCAGCCGCGGUAAUACGGGGGGUGCAAGCGUUAUUCGGAAUUACUGGGCGUAAAGAGCGCGUAGGCGGUCUCUUAAGUCAGGUGUGAAAGCCCGGGGCUCAACCCCGGAAGUGCAUUUGAAACUAAGAGACUUGAGUAUGGGAGAGGGAAGUGGAAUUCCUGGUGUAGCGGUGAAAUGCGUAGAUAUCAGGAGGAACACCGGUGG
This 644-nucleotide ribosomal RNA is filed under the name uncultured Desulfobacterales bacterium. Its description in RNAcentral is "bacterial SSU rRNA". It matches the Rfam family "Bacterial small subunit ribosomal RNA", at positions 95 to 715 of the family's 1533-position model. The record is from RNAcentral. Lineage: Bacteria; Pseudomonadati; Thermodesulfobacteriota; Desulfobacteria; Desulfobacterales.